UACGAAGGGGGCUAGCGUUGUUCGGAAUUACUGGGCGUAAAGCGAGCGUAGGUUGCUCGACAAGUCAGUGGUGAAAGCCCAGAGCUCAACUCUGGAACUGCCAUUGAAACUGUCGAGCUGGAAUCUCAGAGGGGAUAGCGGAAUUCCAAAUGUAGAGGUGAAAUUCGUAGAUAUUUGGAGGAACACCGGUGGCGAAGGCGGCUAUCUGGAUGAGUAUUGACACUGAGGCUCGAAAGUGUGGGGAUCAAACAGG
RNAcentral lists this ribosomal RNA (253 nucleotides) under uncultured bacterium. RNAcentral describes it as "partial 16S ribosomal RNA". It matches the Rfam family "Bacterial small subunit ribosomal RNA", at positions 524 to 776 of the family's 1533-position model. The record is from RNAcentral.